UUCCCCUCUCUCUCUCUCUCUCUCUCUCUCUCUCUCUCUCUCCCAAGGAACAAAAACCUCAUCUCAUCCCAUCAGAAGCACAAAAAUAGGCAGAUGGAAAGAGAGCAGAAGUAGCAGCAGCAGGAGCAGGAGCAGGUGAUGUGAAAAGAUUUAAGAGAUAUAUGAUCUGAACCUUGAGCUAGAGAACGGGAGAGAUCAAGGAGACACCAAAGAGGACUGGACAAAGGGGAGAAAAGGAAGGAAGGGAGUCGGUGAUGGAGGAGACACUCAAGUCCCUCUCCUUGGACUACCUCAACCUCCUCAUCAAUGGUCAGGCCUUCAGCGACGUCACCUUCAGCGUCGAGGGCCGCCUCGUCCACGCCCACCGCUGCAUCCUCGCCGCCCGCAGCCUCUUCUUCCGUAGCUUCUUCUGCGGCACCGACUCGCCGCCGCCGGGCCUCCUGUCGUCGCCGAGGGGCGGCGGCGGCGGGGCGUCCCCCGGGGCGUCGGGCGGCGCCGUCGUCCCGGUGAAUUCGGUCAGCUACGAGGUGUUCCUGCUGAUGCUGCAGUUCCUGUACAGUGGGCAGGUGUCGGUGGUGCCGCAGAAGCACGAGCCCCGCCCCAACUGCGGCGACCGCGGCUGCUGGCACACCCACUGCGCCGCCGCUGUCGACCUCGCCCUCGACACCCUCGCCGCCGCCCGCUCCUUCGGUGUCAAGCAGCUGGAGCAGAUCACCGAGAAGCAAUUGGCCAGCAUGGUGGAGAAAGCGUCGAUCGAGGACGUGAUGAAGGUCCUGAUGGCGUCGCGGCAGCAAGACAUGCAGCAGCUCUGGGCCACCUGCUCCCACCUGGUCGCCAAGUCGGGCCUUCCGGCGGAGGUGCUCGCGAAGCACCUCCCCAUCGACGUGGUCGCCAGGAUCGAGGAGCUCCGUCUCAAGUCCUCCUUCGCCCGCCGGCCCUCCUUCGUCGCACGCCACCCCCACCAGAUCGAUGUCGCUGGCCCAGCCGCUGACCUCGAGGACCACCACCACAAGAUCCGCCGCAUGCGCCGCGCCCUCGACUCCUCCGACGUCGAGCUCGUCAAGCUGAUGGUCAUGGGGGAGGGGCUGAACCUCGACGAUGCGCUCGCCCUCCACUACGCCGUCGAGAACUGUACCCGAGAGGUGGUCAAGGCUCUUCUCGAGCUGGGCGCGGCCGACGUCAACUGCCCCGCCGGCCCAACCGGGAAGACGCCGCUCCACAUCGCCGCCGAGAUGGUGAGCCCCGACAUGGUCGCCGUCCUACUCGAUCACCACGCCGAUCCCAACGUUCGCACCGUCGACGGCGUGACCCCGCUGGAGAUUCUUCGCACCCUCACCUCCGACUUCCUCUUCAAGGGCGCCGUGCCGGGCUUGUCGCACAUAGAACCCAACAAGCUGCGGCUGUGUCUCGAGCUAGUCCAGUCCGCGGCACUGGUGAUGUCCCGAGAGGAAGCCAAUAGCGGUGGAGGUAAUGGUGGCGCCGGAAACAGCCCGAGAGCGGCCAUCUACCCACGGAUGAAUCCCGAAAUAGCUGCGUGCAGCCUCAGCCUGGAUUCAAGAAUGGUGUAUCUGAAUCUUGGCAUGGCGGCACAAUUCGGGAGCAAGAUGAACGAUGGAGGCGGGGACGAGAGCCUCAGCAGUAGACCUCAAGGUGGUGGCGGCGGCGGCGUUGGCCCAUCAUCCAUCUACCCUUCUCAUGGCUUCCCGUGACUCCAACUCCGUAUGAUCCGGAGGACCACCUGCUUGUCUCUGGUCGCCAUCCAUAUCGCAUUAGUGACAUCAUUCUACAUCCGAUGUAAUCAAUCCCCAGCGCAAGGCGAAAGAGUCAUGGAUUCACAGAAAAGAAUGGAACUGCUGUAUCUUCUUCUUCUUCUUCUUCUUCUUCUUCUUCUUCCAGAGAUUUUGUUCUUGAAGGAACAGGGAGAGGUGCAUCCAGACACAGACCAACAAGGUGUCUUCAUAACUUUCAUUGUGUUGUUGAUUUGUUUUGGAUUGUUGGGUCUUUGGUACCUUCUUUUUCUUCUGGUUUACUGCCUCAGCAUGUGGGUGAUCUGAAGAGGUGGAGACAACAAGAAUCUAAGUAAGCUGUGAAUGGUGGAGGAGAUGCAGAGCUAAUCAUGACUGUUAGCAACUAUAGCUUCUAUGAAUGCUGCUAGUAGGGUUGUCAACAUCUAGUGAGGGGUGGGGGGGUGUGCUACCUCCCUAUUGCCUUUAAGGGGUGUGUGCUUGUCCUCCCUACCAAAGCUUUUUCUUUGGAUAUGGAUAGGUGAAUGAGCAGUCCAACUUCAGCUGUGCUUCAA
Molecule: RNA transcript, 2299 nt
Organism: Musa acuminata AAA Group (dessert banana)
Lineage: Eukaryota; Viridiplantae; Streptophyta; Magnoliopsida; Zingiberales; Musaceae
Gene name: BTB/POZ domain and ankyrin repeat-containing protein NPR5-like
Exons: 4
Source: RefSeq, a predicted model, not a curated record